RNAcentral lists this small RNA (465 nucleotides) under Drosophila yakuba. Its description in RNAcentral is "GE28682". The record is from RNAcentral. Lineage: Eukaryota; Metazoa; Arthropoda; Insecta; Diptera; Drosophilidae.
UUCUGGCACUGGCAGUUGCUUGUUGAUAAAAUUUAAUCAUAUUACACAUAUUUCGCUCUUUACGGUCUGUUACCCCAAUAAGGCCCCUGGUUUUUUGGGGGGCUUGUUGGUCCAUGCAUGCUGGAGGUAUUUACUCUUGUUUACAGUUGUGCACGUCGACGAGAAUGGCCAAAAAUAUCCAAUUUGAAAUUAAUGCCUUUAGGAUAUUAUUCAUAAAAUUCGUCCUCCGCUGUUGUAAUUGCCCUGCGGCAUUUGGCGGGUUGAAGUCUUGCCAGCUACCGCAAAAGUUUAUUGUGUGCUAUAAAUUUAAUGCAACAAAUCAUUUGACCGAGGAAAGCCCAAGCUGACAAAGAUAGAAAGGAAAGGAAGGCGGCGGAGGUUGGUGCAAUAAAAUAAGUCAGUAAAAGAAAUAGUAGUAGACAAGUAUUUUACUGAGUCUAAUAAAACAUAGCAUUACAAACUUAA